UACGUAGGGACCAAGCGUUGUUCGGAUUUACUGGGCGUAAAGGGCGCGUAGGCGGCAUGACAAGUCACUUGUGAAAUCUCCGGGCUUAACUCGGAACGGCCAAGUGAAACUGUCAAGCUAGAGUGCAGAAGGGGCAAUCGGAAUUCUUGGUGUAGCGGUGAAAUGCGUAGAUAUCAAGAGGAACACCUGAGGUGAAGACGGGUUGCUGGGCUGACACUGACGCUGAGGCGCGAAAGCUAGGGGAGCAAACAGG
This 253-nucleotide ribosomal RNA is filed under the name uncultured bacterium. RNAcentral describes it as "partial 16S ribosomal RNA". It matches the Rfam family "Bacterial small subunit ribosomal RNA", at positions 524 to 776 of the family's 1533-position model. The record is from RNAcentral.